AGGACGAACGCUGGCGGCGUGCUUAACACAUGCAAGUCGAGCGGACACCAUCCGGUGGCAACACUGGUGAAGUGUUAGCGGCGAACGGGUGAGUAACACGUGAGCAACCUGCCCCCAAGUCUGGGGCAAGCCUGGGAAACCGGGUCUAAUACCGGAUGCCCUCUUCGGAUCGCAUGGUCUGAUGAGGAAAGAAUUUCGCUUGGGGAGGGACUCGCGGCCUAUCAGCUUGUGUGGGUAAUGGCCUACCAAGGCUUCGACGGGUAGCUGGUCUGAGAGGACGACCAGCCACACUGGGACUGAGACACGGCCCAGACUCCUACGGGAGGCAGCAGUGGGGAAUCUUGCGCAAUGGGCGAAAGCCUGACGCAGCAACGCCGCGUGCGGGAUGAAGGCUCUCGGGUCGUAAACCGCUUUCAGUGGGAACGAUGAUGACGGUACCGCAAGAAUAAGCCCCGGCUAACUUCGUGCCAGCAGCCGC
This 478-nucleotide ribosomal RNA is filed under the name uncultured bacterium. Its description in RNAcentral is "SSU rRNA". It matches the Rfam family "Bacterial small subunit ribosomal RNA", at positions 26 to 518 of the family's 1533-position model. The record is from RNAcentral.